This 501-nucleotide ribosomal RNA is filed under the name uncultured bacterium. RNAcentral describes it as "partial 16S ribosomal RNA". It matches the Rfam family "Bacterial small subunit ribosomal RNA", at positions 30 to 523 of the family's 1533-position model. The record is from RNAcentral.
AUUGAACGCUGGCGGCAGGCUUAACACAUGCAAGUCGAGCGGGGAAGGUUGCUUCGGUAACUGACCUAGCGGCGGACGGGUGAGUAAUGCUUAGGAAUCUGCCUAUUAGUGGGGGACAACAUUCCGAAAGGGAUGCUAAUACCGCAUACGUCCUACGGGAGAAAGCAGGGGAUCAUUUGACCUUGCGCUAAUAGAUGAGCCUAAGUCGGAUUAGCUAGUUGGUAGGGUAAAGGCCUACCAAGGCGACGAUCUGUAGCGGGUCUGAGAGGAUGAUCCGCCACACUGGGACUGAGACACGGCCCAGACUCCUACGGGAGGCAGCAGUGGGGAAUAUUGGACAGUGGGGGGAACCCUGAUCCAGCCAUGCCGCGUGUGUGAAGAAGGCCUUUUGGUUGUAAAGCACUUUAAGCGAGGAGGAGGCUCUCUUGGUUAAUACCUGAGAAGAGUGGACGUUACUCGCAGAAUAAGCACCGGCUAACUUCGUGCCAGCAGCCGCCGUAA